AUUGAACGCUGGCGGCAGGCCUAACACAUGCAAGUCGAACGGCAGCACAGAAGAGCUUGCUCUUUGGGUGGCGAGUGGCGGACGGGUGAGUAACACGUAGGAAUCUACCCAGUAGUGGGGGAUAACCUGGGGAAACCCAGGCUAAUACCGCAUACGCCCUGAGGGGGAAAGCGGGGGAUCUUCGGACCUCGCGCUAUUGGAUGAGCCUGCGUCGGAUUAGCUAGUUGGUGGGGUAAGGGCCCACCAAGGCGACGAUCCGUAGCUGGUCUGAGAGGAUGACCAGUCACACCGGAACUGAGACACGGUCCGGACUCCUACGGGAGGCAGCAGUGGGGAAUAUUGGACAAUGGGCGGCAAGCCUGAUCCAGCCAUGCCGCGUGGGUGAAGAAGGCCUCGGUU
Molecule: ribosomal RNA, 399 nt
Filed under: uncultured bacterium
Lineage: Bacteria
Description: bacterial SSU rRNA
Rfam family: Bacterial small subunit ribosomal RNA
Source: RNAcentral